Molecule: ribosomal RNA, 505 nt
Filed under: Bacillus altitudinis
Lineage: Bacteria; Bacillati; Bacillota; Bacilli; Caryophanales; Bacillaceae
Description: bacterial SSU rRNA
Rfam family: Bacterial small subunit ribosomal RNA
Source: RNAcentral
GGACGGGUGAGUAACACGUGGGUAACCUGCCUGUAAGACUGGGAUAACUCCGGGAAACCGGAGCUAAUACCGGAUAGUUCCUUGAACCGCAUGGUUCAAGGAUGAAAGACGGUUUCGGCUGUCACUUACAGAUGGACCCGCGGCGCAUUAGCUAGUUGGUGAGGUAACGGCUCACCAAGGCGACGAUGCGUAGCCGACCUGAGAGGGUGAUCGGCCACACUGGGACUGAGACACGGCCCAGACUCCUACGGGAGGCAGCAGUAGGGAAUCUUCCGCAAUGGACGAAAGUCUGACGGAGCAACGCCGCGUGAGUGAUGAAGGUUUUCGGAUCGUAAAGCUCUGUUGUUAGGGAAGAACAAGUGCAAGAGUAACUGCUUGCACCUUGACGGUACCUAACCAGAAAGCCACGGCUAACUACGUGCCAGCAGCCGCGGUAAUACGUAGGUGGCAAGCGUUGUCCGGAAUUAUUGGGCGUAAAGGGCUCGCAGGCGGUUUCUUAAGUCUG